Molecule: ribosomal RNA, 473 nt
Filed under: Mogibacterium timidum
Lineage: Bacteria; Bacillati; Bacillota; Clostridia; Peptostreptococcales; Anaerovoracaceae
Description: bacterial SSU rRNA
Rfam family: Bacterial small subunit ribosomal RNA
Source: RNAcentral
GAUGAACGCUGGCGGCGUGCCUAAUACAUGCAAGUCGAGCGAGAAGCUUGGAAAUGACGCUUCGGUUGAUUUUUCAAGCGGACAGCGGCGGACGGGUGAGUAACGCGUAGGCAACCUGCCCCUGACAGAGGGAUAGCCAUUGGAAACGAUGAUUAAAACCUCAUGACACCGUAGUAGCACAUGCUACAUCGGCCAAAGAUUUAUCGGUCAGGGAUGGGCCUGCGUCUGAUUAACUGGUUGGUGAGGCAACGGCUCACCAAGGUGACGAUCAGUAGCCGACCUGAGAGGGUGAUCGGCCACAUUGGAACUGAGACACGGUCCAAACUUCUACGGAAGGCAGCAGUAGGGAAUCUUGCACAAUGGGCGAAAGCCUGAUGCAGCAACGCCGCGUGAAGGAUGAAGGCUUCGGGUUGUAAACUUCUGUUCUAAGGGAAGAAAGAAAUGACGGUACCUUAGGAGCAAGCCCCGGCUAA